This 1516-nucleotide long non-coding RNA is filed under the name Piliocolobus tephrosceles (Ugandan red Colobus). RNAcentral's name for it is "lncRNA (ENSPTEG00000003965.1)". The record is from RNAcentral. Lineage: Eukaryota; Metazoa; Chordata; Mammalia; Primates; Cercopithecidae.
GAGGCGGAGCUUGCAGUGAGCUGAGAUUGCGCCACUGCCCUCCAGCCUGGGCGACGGAGCGAGACUCCAUCUCAAAAAAAAGAAAGGAAAGAAAUUGUUGUCUAGGUUGACUUUGUUCUUGUUUUCCGAUGGUGUAGCCUGUUGUCUUCACCCCAUUUAUGGUCAGCGCGUUAGUUUCCCGCUGCUGUGAGGUCUGUGUGCUGCUGUCGGGAAGGUGGCGUUGCUGGGUAACUGGCUGUGUCUGCAUGAGGCUGUGUUUGUUCCAGAUUACAGGGUCACGGGGAACACCGUGCUGUGUUACUGCUGUGGCCUGCGCAGCUUCCGUGAGCUCACCUACCAGUAUCGGCGGAACAUUCCUGCUUCCGAGUUGCCAGGAAAUUCAAUCAUAUCUGUGAACAGACAAGGUUCAAAAACUAAGCAUCCAGAGGCCCCGAGCAGCUUUCAGCACUGAAGGCGAAGAGAGCGUGUUUUUAAAAUACAGAGACAAACACGUCAGGGCGUUUUCACAGCCCCCUGAGGGACGCGGGGUCUCCGGCAGGUGCUCUGGGGGGACCCUUCUGUGAGCUUCACCCUCUGAGUGAGACCCUCCCCAGAGCCCUGGGGGCCACAGCCCGCCCUCCUGCUGAGUGCUGGGUGGGGCUUGUGGUGGCGUGAGCAGCAGAGACGGAGCCUUUCCAUGACACGCAGCUGUCCCGCUGAGGGGCAGUUUUGCUCUUUUGUAUGUUUUCCGUAACUACAGGUAAAGCAGAAAUCUGUUUUCAGGAAGAGUUUCAAGGGAGAAAGGGGAAAGUUUAUCAAAAACAUUGUUUCAGGAGAAGGGAGCGUAAGUUUACAGCCUACAGGAUGUACACAAUAUUCUGCUGUUGGGAAAACCACAGCAUUUUAUAUAUUUUUUAUUUUAAUAGGUUUGGUGCUUAUCUUCUAAUAAGAUUUAAAUAUCACAAACUGUAGCACAAAUAAUAUAAUUUAUAAUUUACAAAUUGACUAAAAUUGGGUAUUGUAUGGUAUUUGAAAGAAUAAGCAUAUGCUUCUGUUUAUUGAAAAAAAACUUCCAGUGUCCAAAACUGCUAACCCUCGACGUGGCUGUCAAGUUAGUCGCUCCUUGCUAACCUGUGGGUGACCACGGCCCUGAACCUGGAGCUGGACGCAGGGCCCAGGACGCGCCGCUCCCUUCACGGCCCCGAGCNNNNNNNNNNGGCCCUUCCUCCAAGACCCUACAGAGCCUGAGGGGCACCUUGGCUUCCGCCUGUGCUAGGUUUGCCAUGUCAGCUGGAAUAAUACUUGAAACUUUGAUUUUUGGAAAAAAAAGUUUUUUAUCUUUUGUUGAAAUCACCUGUUAUCCUUGUUUGCAAACUGGUAACUUUUUUGCUUCUUCUCAGGAAUACAGUUUUCAACUGUUGACUUGCUCUUGAUAGGAACUGAGAAGCAGCACUCUGUAUCUCUGCGUUUGUGGAGGAAAGUCCUCUCUUUUGCAUAUUCUAAUAAAUGAGCCGCCUUUGCUCCUCCCCUCUCGUGU